CGAAGCUGCGGAUGUGUGUAUUUAUACACACAUGGUAGGGGAGCGUUGUGUAAGUGGCUGAAGGCAAGCUGUGAGGCUUGCUGGACAUAUCACAAGUGCGAAUGCUGACAUGAGUAACGAUAAUGGGUGUGAAAAACACCCACGCCGAAAGACCAAGGUUUCCUGCGCAACGUUAAUCGACGCAGGGUUAGUCGGUCCCUAAGGCGAGGCUGAAAAGCGUAGUCGAUGGAAAACAGGUUAAUAUUCCUGUACUUCUGGUUAUUGCGAUGGAGGGACGGAGAAGGCUAGGCCAGCUUGGCGUUGGUUGUCCAAGUUUAAGGUGGUAGGCUGGAAUCUUAGGUAAAUCCGGGAUUCUAAGGCCGAGAGCUGAUGACGAGUCAUCUUUUAGAUGACGAAGUGGUUGAUGCCAUGCUUCCAAGAAAAGCUUCUAAGCUUCAGGUAACCAGGAACCGUACCCCAAACCGACACAGGUGGUCAGGUAGAGAAUACUAAGGCGCUUGAGAGAACCUGGGUGAAGGAACUCGGCAAAAUCGUACCGUAACUUCGGGAGAAGGUACGCUGCUGUUUGUGAUGGGACUUGCUCCCUAAGCGAAUGGCAGCCGCAGUGAAAUGGUGGCUGGAACUGUUUAUUAAAAACACAGCACUGUGCUAAAUCGAAAGAUGACGUAUACGGUGUGACGCCUGCCCGGUGCCGGAAGGUUAAUUGAUGGGGUUAGC
Molecule: ribosomal RNA, 717 nt
Filed under: uncultured Chaetoceros
Lineage: Eukaryota; Bacillariophyta; Thalassiosirophyceae; Chaetocerotales; Chaetocerotaceae
Description: partial Bacterial large subunit ribosomal RNA
Rfam family: Bacterial large subunit ribosomal RNA
Source: RNAcentral